Molecule: long non-coding RNA, 853 nt
Filed under: Salmo salar (Atlantic salmon)
Lineage: Eukaryota; Metazoa; Chordata; Actinopteri; Salmoniformes; Salmonidae
Description: lncRNA (ENSSSAG00000106315.1)
Source: RNAcentral
GGAACAGAGAGAGAGUAGAACAGGAUGAGACAGGGAGGAACAGAGAGAGUAGAACAGGAUGAGACAGGGAGGAACGGAGAGAGUAGAACAGGAUGAGACAGGGAGGAACAGAGAGAGUAGAACAGGAUGAGACAGGGAGGAACAGAGAGAGAGAGUAGAACAGGAUUAGACAGGGAGGAACAGAGAGAGUAGAACAGGAUGAGACAGGGAGGAACAGAGAGAGAGAGUAGAACAGGAUGAGACAGGGAGGAACAGAGAGAGUAGAACAGGAUGAGACAGGGAGGAACAGAGAGAGAGUAGAACAGGAUGAGACAGGAAGGAACAGAGAGAGAGUAGAACUGGAUGAGACAGGAAGGAACAGAGAGAGAGAGAGAGUAGAACAGGAUGAGACAGGGAGGAACAGAGAGAGAGUAGAACAGGAUUAGACAGGGAGGAACAGAGAGAGUAGAAUAGGAUGAGACAGGGAGGAACAGAGAGAGAGUAGAACAGGAUGUGACAGGGAGGAACAGAGAGAGAGAGUAGAACAGGAUGAGACAGGGAGGAACAGAGAGAGAGUAGAACAGGGAGGAACAGAGAGAGUAGAACAGGAUGAGACAGGGAGGAACAGAGAGAGAGAGUAGAACAGGAUUAGACAGGGAGGAACAGAGAGAGUAGAACAGGAUGAGACAGGGAGGAACAGAGAGAGUAGAACAGGAUGAGACAGGGAGGAACAGAGAGAGAGUAGAACAGGAUGAGACAGGGAGGAACAGAGAGAGUAGAACAGGAUGAGACAGGGAGGAACAGAGAGAGAGUAGAACAGGAUGAGACAGGGAGGAACAGAGAGAGAGAAGAGAACAGGAUGAGACAGGGAGGA